RNAcentral lists this small nuclear RNA (284 nucleotides) under Mytilus galloprovincialis (Mediterranean mussel). RNAcentral's name for it is "7SK RNA". It matches the Rfam family "7SK RNA". Rfam says of the family: 7SK was discovered as an abundant small nuclear RNA in the mid-70s but a possible function has only recently been suggested. Two independent studies have found that 7SK RNA binds the CDK9/cyclin T complex (known as elongation factor P-TEFb). The record is from Rfam by way of RNAcentral. Lineage: Eukaryota; Metazoa; Mollusca; Bivalvia; Mytilida; Mytilidae.
GCGUGUGUCCUGGUGACACAUCUGAACAUCGAUCGCUGUUUAUUUCGGCGGAUCUGUUUGGUUUGGUGUCCCUCUUUAGAACACAUUCCGCAUUAUAUGGAACUCCCGCUGCCUUGUCGCACGGUGGAGAUCUGUUUAAAUUGGCCUCUCGUUUAGGCCCUGGGUAUAAAAAGUUAACAUUCGACUUCUAAAGUUUCUAAAAAAAUUGGGAAGUUGGGGUUAUUCUUCGUAACACAUUUCUGACGCUCUAGAACGGCUCUACAUGUGGUAGACUGCCAGACCUU